CACACGACUCUCGGCAACGGAUAUCUCGGCUCUCGCAUCGAUGAAGAACGUAGCGAAAUGCGAUACCUGGUGUGAAUUGCAGAAUCCCGUGAACCAUCGAGUCUUUGAACGCAAGUUGCGCCCGAGGGCAUCCGGCCGAGGGCACGCCUGCCUGGGCGUCACGC
Molecule: ribosomal RNA, 164 nt
Filed under: Oryza grandiglumis
Lineage: Eukaryota; Viridiplantae; Streptophyta; Magnoliopsida; Poales; Poaceae
Description: 5.8S ribosomal RNA
Rfam family: 5.8S ribosomal RNA
About the family: 5.8S ribosomal RNA (5.8S rRNA) is a component of the large subunit of the eukaryotic ribosome.
Source: RNAcentral